AUCAGUCGUUGUUUCUAGACUUUAGCCACUGUGCGGUUGAGACAAAUAAGUGUAUUUUGUGUUCUUCCAAACUAUAAAGGUUUUUAAACAUUUACAAAAACUACCCGCAGUUAAAUCAACAAUAAUGCAGCUACGUUUUAUCGUCUUCAUCGCCGUUGUCUUCGCGGCAAUUGCAAUGCUGGAUGGAGUAAUCGGACAAUGUCAACUACUUGCAACCAACGUAAUUUUCCCCAUAGUUUGCCCGCUUUUGGCUACAUUUAAAGUGUUUGAAAGUGCAAGUUGUUGUUUAAUUGCUUUGACCAACUGCUGCAAUAGUCAGGCGGCUUGCAGUCUUUUCAUUGAGACUUGUUUGGUUACAAAAUGUACUAAUGAUCGCAAAUAAUGAAACUUAUCCUGUUUAAUGAAAAAUUUAAGGAAAAUAAAGAAAUGAUUAAUUGAA
This is a long non-coding RNA of Lutzomyia longipalpis, 439 nucleotides long. RefSeq lists it as uncharacterized. Lineage: Eukaryota; Metazoa; Arthropoda; Insecta; Diptera; Psychodidae. The transcript is spliced from 2 exons. The record is from RefSeq and is a predicted model, not a curated record.